RNAcentral lists this non-coding RNA (28 nucleotides) under Mus musculus (house mouse). The record is from RNAcentral. Lineage: Eukaryota; Metazoa; Chordata; Mammalia; Rodentia; Muridae.
UAACUUUCGAUUGACUUGCUGAUAAGAG